Molecule: long non-coding RNA, 6206 nt
Filed under: Prunus persica (peach)
Lineage: Eukaryota; Viridiplantae; Streptophyta; Magnoliopsida; Rosales; Rosaceae
Description: long non-coding RNA (PPER_LNC002635)
Source: RNAcentral
UAGGAAACGGAAAGAAGAAAAGGAAAGGAGGAAAGAGAGAGAAGAGGAAAGAAGAGGGUAAGUAAGCAGAGAGAAAAUUCAGUGAGUCACACAUAUUGUAAACACUAUUGUAGUCAUAUUAUUAUAUAGUGAAAAGUUACUGUUGCUGCUCUCCGAGGACGUAGGCGUAGCCGAACCUCGUUAAAUACUGUGUCUCAUCUACUUUACGUGCAGCUCAAAAUUCGCACAUAUCCCAGGUUAUUUUAUAACACGUUAUCAGCACGAUAGUCUCUCCUUUUAUUUCUGAAAUUUUUCCAACUCAACACUAUAUAAUAUACUAUAUUUAUCUGCUUCUCUAUUACUAACCAUUAACAAAAAUGGACCCUUGGUAAUACUAAACAUAUUAUCAGUGGGAGACCGUUACUAAUACUAACUUUUUUUUUUCUUAUUCGGUGGUGGUUUUAACCCCACAUUUAAUUUUAUUUAUGGUAUGGUGUAGGCUUAUUACCCAUACGGCAAUAUUUAUUUAAAGGGUGGUGCGGGUUUAUCGUCCACGCCUUUACUUUUAUUUAAAUGUAUGGAGCAGAAUUAGUGCCCAUACAAGCACAUUUACUUUACCGCACAUUUAAGGUAUGGUGCGGGUUUAUCGUCCAUACCAGCAAAUUCAUAACACUUUACUUUUAUCAUCAAUUAAUAUACCUAAAUGAUGAGGACCUGAAAUUCCUAUUAAUAAGUGGCUUAAUAUUCCAGAUCUCGAGCCUAAAGUUUUGGAUGACAAAUUUGGCAAAACUAGAGUUUGCUGCCUUGGACCUUUCCGAGGACAACUAUUUAUCAUGGGUCCUGGAUGCCAAAAUUCAUCUACGAGCCAAUGGCCUCGGACAAACAAUUGUAGAUGAGAAUGAUGCUUCGCCUGAAGAGAAUGCGAAGGCCAUGAUCUUUCUUCGCCGCCACAUCCAUGAAGCGCUGAAGAGCGAAUAUGUGGUGGUUGAUGAACCGUUGGUUCUGUGGAAAGCUCUAGGUGAAAGAUACGAUCACCAGAAGACGGUGACUCUCCCAAGAGCUAGAUACGAAUGGACCCACUUGAGAUUUCAAGAUUUCAAGUCAGUUUCCGAGUAUAACUCUGCUAUGCACAGAAUUACCUCAUUAAUGAGGCUAUGUGGGGAAAAUAUAUCUGAUGAGGAUAUGCUCGAAAAAACUCUGAGCACUUUUCAUGCUUCAAAUGUCCUCCUUCAGCAGCAAUACAGACAUAGCGGUUUCAAGAAGUACUCGGAACUUGUAUCUUGCCUCUUGUUAGCUGAGCAGAAUAAUGUGAGCUCUUAUUAAAGAAUCACCAAUCUCACCCAACGGGCUCAGCACCACUUCCUGAAAUAAAUGCUGCAUCUCAGGAAGUGAAUGCCACUUCAUCUCGUGGCAGUAUCUACAAACGUGAGCGAGGGGGCAAGCGUGGCCACUGGCAAGGAAGUAGAAAAAAUCGUGGUGCUCAUUCACAGGGUUUAGGUCCAAGGAGCGGUCCAUCCACGAAUGGCAAAAAUGCAUCCCGUAAUAAGGGAAAGGCACAGAUGAGCCAUGUGCCUAGAAAUGUUGAAAGCCCUUGUCACAGAUGUGGUGCAAAGGGACAUUGGGUGCGCGCAUGUCGUACGCCCAGGCAUUUGGCGGAUCUCUAUCAAGCUUCACUUAAGAACAGGAAAGUGGAGAUAAAUUACAUUGACCAUGCUCCGCCAGCCACAGAUGGCUCAUCAGAAAUAUCACGUCAGCUAAACAAGACGCAUCUAGAUGUUUCUGAUUUUGUUACUGAAAGAGGGAAUGAAGGUUAUGUGUCCGAAUUAGAUUAAAUUCCUUAAUAUACUAUUUGUAUUAGCUGAAGUGUUGUUUAAAUUUCAAUCCAAUAAAAGUGGUAAUGUUUUCUUCUUUAUUGAUCCCAGCUUAUUUUACUUAUUUGGUGGCAUGGAUGCAAAUUAUGGAUGCCCUCAAAACAAAGGCUAUGGCAGAGAUAUUUGUCUUGCAGACAGCGCAACUACUCAUACGAUCCUUCAAGAUCGGAAGUAUUUCUCAAAAUUAAUGCUUACAAAAGCAAAGGUAACAACCAUAUCAGGUCCUGCAGAUCUGAUUGAAGGUUCAGGAAUAGCCCAAAUUAUGUUACCAAAUGGAACAAUACUAUCUAUUCCAGAUGCUUUGUAUUCAUCUAACUCCAGAAGGAAUCUGUUGAGUUUCAAAGAUAUACGUUUGAAUGGCUACCAUGUUGAAACAAAGAAAGAGGAAAACAUGGAAUAUCUUUGUAUUACCUCCAGUGAUACUCAAAAGCGUAUACUGGAAAAGCUUUGUGAACUCUCAUCAGGGUUGUAUUACACAACCAUACGGACAAUUGAGGCACAUAGUGUCAUGGACCAAGAGUCCACUAACUCAAAUGCUUUUAAGCUUUGGCAUGACAGGUUGGGUCAUCCUGGAUCCACCAUGAUGCGCAGGAUCAUCACCAACUUUAAAGGACAUCCCUUGUUGACUAAACACAUUAUGUUAUCAAGCGACAUCUUUUGCCAAGCUUGUUCACAAGGGAAGUUGGUGAUCAGACCAUCACAACCAAAGGUUGAUGUUGAGUCUCCAUCAUUUUUGCAGAGAAUUCAAGGGGACAUUUGUAGACCCAUUCAUCCCCCAUGUGGACCAUUUCGGUACUUUAUGGUCUUGGUAGACGCAUCUACCCGAUGGUCACAUGUUUGUCUUUUAUCUACUCGGAAUAUGGCAUUUGCUAGGCUUUUGGCUCAGAUAAUUAAAUUACGAGCCCAAUUCCCAGAUUAUCCCAUUAAGUCAAUCAGACUCGAUAAUGCUGGUGAAUUUACAUCUCAGACUUUUGAUGACUACUGCAUGUCACUAGGCAUUGAUAUUGAACAUCCUGUUCCCUAUGUGCAUACUCAAAAUGGCUUGGCAGAAGCUUUAAUUAAACACCUUCAAUUGAUAGCACGCACUUUGCUAAUGAAAACAAAGUUGCCAGUUUCUGCUUGGGGAUAUGCCAUUUUACAUGCAGCAUCGCUUGUGCGAUUGAGGCCCGUCACCAACAAUCAAUGUUCUCCAAUACAACUCGUAUUGGGAAAUCAACCAAACAUUUCACAUUUAAGAAUUUUUGGGUGUGCGGUAUAUGUGCCCAUUGCACCACCGCAACGUACUAAGAUGGGCCCUCAACGCAGAUUGGGAAUUUAUGUUGGUUUUGAUUCACCAUCUAUCAUCAGAUACUUGGCACCCCUGACGGGUGAUAUUUUUACCGCACGAUUUGCGGAUUGUGAUUUUGAUGAGACAAUCUUCCCAUCAUUAGGGGGAGAAAAAUCUGUGUCUAAAGAACAAGGCAAACUCAUUCCUGAAAAACGACAUGAAUUAUCCUGGAAUGUAUCCACAUUGUCUCAUCUCGAUCCUCAUACUGCUCAAUGCGAAAACGAAGUAAGAAGGAUCGUUCACCUCCAAAGUAUUGCCAAUCAGAUGCCAGAUGCAUUUAAUGAUGCAGCAAAGAUGACGAAAUCUCAUAUCCCAGCUGCAAAUGCACCCGCACGGAUUGAUGUCCAUAAUGGACAAAGCAAUGUCCCAGCAAAUGGUUCAUCUGCUGCACGCCUAAAACGUGGCAGACCACUAGGCUCAAAGGAUUCAAUUCCUCGAAAGAGGAAGUUGAUGGACAAAAUGAAUCCAAAUGAAAUAAAUAGAGAGCCCACAAUUCAUAAUUCAAAUGCCCCCAAAGAGGGACAGGUACUUCUUGACAAGGAAAACGUCAUUGGUGAGACAAGUGCCCCUGGAAUGGCAACCGUACCUGAAAGUCAAGAAAUCUCCAUAAAUUAUACGUCCACUGAUGAAUUGUGGAGUAGAAAUGAGAUGAUCAUCGAUGAUAUAUUUGCAUUCUCAGUGGCUGCUGAGAUUAUAAAAGAUGAUGAUAUUGAGCCGUGCUCUAUUAAUGAAUGUACACAGAGGCAAGAUUGGCCCAAGUGGAAAGAUGCAAUCCAGGCAGAAUUAAAUUCUUUGGAAAAAAGGAGUGUUUUUGGACAUAUUAGUCCAACUCCACCCAAUGUGAACCCUGUAGGUUACAAGUGGGUAUUUACAAGAAAGCGCAAUGAGAAAAAUGAGAUCUCAAGGUAUAAAGCGCGACUCGUUGCGCAAGGUUUUUCACAAAGGCCUGGAAUUGAUUAUGUGGAAACGUACUCUCCAGUAAUGGACAAAUUACAUUCCGUUACCUAAUAAGUUUGGCGGUUUCAGAAAAACUUGAAAUGAGACUCAUGUAUGUCAUUACCGCAUAUUUGUAUGGAGAAUUGGAUACAGAUAUAUACAUGAAAGUUCCAGAAGGAUUCAGGUUGCCUGAAGCAGCUAGAAACAAACCACGGGACAUGUUCUCAGUUAAAUUGAGAAAAUCAUUAUAUGGGCUAAAACAAUCUGGACGAAUGUGGUACAAUCGUCUCAGUAAGUAUUUACUGAAGGAAGGAUACACAAAUGAUCCUAUUUGCCCAUGUGUGUUUAUUAAGAAAUCAGAGUCUGGAUUUGCGAUAGUGGCAGUAUAUGUCGACGACAUGAAUCUAAUUGGAACUUCUAAAGAGCUUCAAAAGACUGUUGAUUAUCUCAAACGUGAGUUUGAGAUGAAGGACCUUGGAAAGACAAAAUAUUAUCUUGGCUUGCAGAUUGAGCACAGUGCUAAUGGAAUUUUGGUGCAUCAAUCAACUUAUACUGAGAAAGUAUUGGAACGGUUUGGCAUGGAUAAAGCCCAUCCACUUAGCACUCCAAUGGUCGUUCGAUCGCUUGACACUAAGAAAGACCCAUAUCGUCCAAAAGAGAAUGAUGAAAUGGUCCUUGGUCCAAAAGUACCAUAUCUUAGUGCAAUAGGUGCCUUAUUGUACCUAGCACAAUGUACCAGACCAGACAUAUCAUUCUCAGUAAAUCUGUUAGCAAGGUACAGUUCUGCUCCAACAAGGCGACACUGGACCGGCAUCAAACAUGUUCUACGAUACCUUCGUGGGACAACAGACAUGGGGUUAUUCUAUUCUAGUGAAUCGACCAAUGCCCAGAGUAUUAUUGGUUAUGCUGAUGCAAGAUAUCUCUCUGAUCCACAUCAAGGACGAUCACAGCCUGGGUAUGUAUUUACAUGUGGAGGAACUGCAAUCUCAUGACGCUCAACAAAACAAACAUUAGUGGCCACAUCUUCUAAUCACUCAGAAAUACUUGCCCUCCAUGAAGCCAGUCGUGAAUGCGUUUGGUUAAGGUCGGUAAUCCAUCACAUCCGAAGCACAUGUGCCCUACCCUCAACAAUAGACACUCCAACAAUUCUGAAUGAGGACAAUGCAGCUUGUAUUGCUCAGAUCACAGAAGGAUAUAUCAAGGGUGACAGGACCAAGCACAUAUCACUAAAGUUUUUCUAUACACAUGAGCUCUAGAAGAGUCAAGAAAUCAAAGUCAGACAAAUCCGUUCAAGUGAUAACCUGGCAGAUCUCUUCACUAAAUCAUUGCCGAAAUGUACAUUCCAAAAGUUAGUGCAUGGCAUCGGAUUACGACAACUCUGCAAGCAAUCAAGUUGGAGCAUGCAAAAUCAGGGGGAGCAUUCAAAAGUCCUCUAACAUAGGACAUAUGCACGUUGUACUCUUUUUCCUUCGCUUAGGUUUUUUCCCACUGGGUUUUUCCAAGCAAGGUUUUAAUGAGGCAUCCAAUCUAGGGACAUGUGGUCUCCAAGGGGGAGUGUUGUAAAGAAGAAACAUGUGGAGCCCACAUUUAUGGGGCCCACAAAGAAAUUAAGCAAAUAUUUGGAGGUUUAUCAGCUGCACACUCACGGAUGUGUAUUGUAGAAUCACGGGUGCCAUUUAAUAUGUCUAUAAAUAGAGAAAGAAGAAAAGGAAAAGAAGAAGAGAGAAAGAGAUAGGAAACGGAAAGAAGAAAAGGAAAAGAAGAAGAGAGAAAGAGAUAGGAAACGGAAAGAAGAAAAGGAAAGGAGGAAAGAGAGAGAAGAGGAAAGAAGAGGGUAAGUAAGCAGAGAGAAAAUUCAGUGAGUCACACAUUGUAAACACUAUUGUAGUCAUAUUAUUAUAUAGUGAAAAGUUACUGUUGCUGCUCUCCGAGGACGUAGGCGUAGCCGAACCUCGUUAAAUACUGUGUCUCAUCUACUUUACGUGCAGCUCAAAAUUCGCACAUAUCCCAGGUUAUUUUAUAACAAUUUGCAGGAUAUUUGAUAUUUACUCUCUCUCUCUCUUUUUGUGUGCUUUCUUCAAUCUUUGCUUUCG